This 129-nucleotide small nuclear RNA is filed under the name Podarcis muralis (Common wall lizard). Its description in RNAcentral is "U2 spliceosomal RNA (ENSPMRG00000022196.1)". It matches the Rfam family "U2 spliceosomal RNA". Rfam says of the family: U2 is a small nuclear RNA (snRNA) component of the spliceosome (involved in pre-mRNA splicing). Lineage: Eukaryota; Metazoa; Chordata; Lepidosauria; Squamata; Lacertidae. The record is from Rfam by way of RNAcentral.
AUCGCUUCUCGACCUUUUAGCUAAGAUCAAGUGUAGUAUCUGUUCUUAUCAGUUUAAUAUCUGAUAUGUCCUUUAUUUGAGGACUAUAUAUUAAAUAGGGACGCGGGUGGCGCUGUGGGUAAAACCUCA